UUACGUGCGAAGGGGCUACCUCGAGUGCCACCUGAUGAAGGUGGCUUUUCCUAGGUCUAAAAAGCCUUGGGAAUAAGAGGGGGGCAAGACUGGUGUCAGCCGCCGCGGUAACACCAGCCCCUCGAGUGGUGGGGAUGAUUAUUGGGCCUAAAGCGUCCGUAGCCUGCCGUGUAAGUUUCCCGUUAAAUCCAGCGUCUUAAGCGUUGGACCGCGGGAAAUACUGUACGGCUAGAGAGUGGGAGAGGUCAGCGGUAUUCUGGGGGUAGGGGCGAAAUCCUUUGAUCCCCGGAGGACCACCAGUGGCGAAGGCUGCUGUCUAGAACACGUCUGACGGUCAGGGACGAAAGCUGGGGUAGCGAACCGGAUUAGAUACCCGGGUAGUCCCAGCCGUAAACGAUGCAUGCUAGGUGUUGGGUUGGCCACGAGCCACCCCAGUGCCGCAGGGAAGCCGUUAAGCAUGCCGCCUGGGAAGUACGAUCGCAAGGUUGAAACUUAAAGGAAUUGGCGGGG
This 510-nucleotide ribosomal RNA is filed under the name uncultured archaeon. RNAcentral's name for it is "bacterial SSU rRNA". It matches the Rfam family "Archaeal small subunit ribosomal RNA", at positions 361 to 873 of the family's 1478-position model. The record is from RNAcentral.